RNAcentral lists this ribosomal RNA (1418 nucleotides) under metagenome. RNAcentral's name for it is "bacterial SSU rRNA". It matches the Rfam family "Bacterial small subunit ribosomal RNA". The record is from RNAcentral.
AGAGUUUGAUCCUGGCUCAGAACGAACGCUGGCGGCAGGCCUAACACAUGCAAGUCGAGCGCACCUUCGGGUGAGCGGCGGACGGGUUAGUAACGCGUGGGAACAUACCCUUCUCUAAGGAAUAGCCACUGGAAACGGUGAGUAAUACCUUAUACGCCCUUCGGGGGAAAGAUUUAUCGGAGAUGGAUUGGCCCGCGUUAGAUUAGAUAGUUGGUGGGGUAACGGCCUACCAAGUCUACGAUCUAUAGCUGGUUUUAGAGGACGAUCAGCAACACUGGGACUGAGACACGGCCCAGACUCCUACGGGAGGCAGCAGUGGGGAAUCUUAGACAAUGGGCGAAAGCCUGAUCUAGCCAUGCCGCGUGAGUGAUGAAGGCCCUAGGGUCGUAAAGCUCUUUCGCCAGGGAUGAUAAUGACAGUACCUGGUAAAGAAACCCCGGCUAACUCCGUGCCAGCAGCCGCGGUAAUACGGAGGGGGUUAGCGUUGUUCGGAAUUACUGGGCGUAAAGCGUACGUAGGCGGAUCAGAAAGUUAGGGGUGAAAUCCCGAGGCUCAACCUCGGAACUGCCUCUAAAACUCCUGGUCUUGAGUUCGAGAGAGGUGAGUGGAAUUCCAAGUGUAGAGGUGAAAUUCGUAGAUAUUUGGAAGAACACCAGUGGCGAAGGCGGCUCACUGGCUCGAUACUGACGCUGAGGUACGAAAGUGUGGGGAGCAAACAGGAUUAGAUACCCUGGUAGUCCACACCGUAAACGAUGAAUGCCAGUCGUCGGGCAGUAUACUGUUCGGUGACACACCUAACGGAUUAAGCAUUCCGCCUGGGGAGUACGGUCGCAAGAUUAAAACUCAAAGGAAUUGACAGGGGCCCGCACAAGCGGCGGAGCAUGUGGUUUAAUUCGAAGCAACGCGCAGAACCUUACCAACCCUUGACAUCCUGUGCUACUACCAGAGAUGGUACGUUCCCUUCGGGGACGCAGUGACAGGUGCUGCAUGGCUGUCGUCAGCUCGUGUCGUGAGAUGUUCGGUUAAGUCCGGCAACGAGCGCAACCCACAUCUUUAGUUGCCAGCAGUUCGGCUGGGCACUCUAAAGAAACUGCCCGUGAUAAGCGGGAGGAAGGUGUGGAUGACGUCAAGUCCUCAUGGCCCUUACGGGUUGGGCUACACACGUGCUACAAUGGCAGUGACAAUGGGUUAAUCCCAAAAAACUGUCUCAGUUCGGAUUGGGGUCUGCAACUCGACCCCAUGAAGUCGGAAUCGCUAGUAAUCGCGUAACAGCAUGACGCGGUGAAUACGUUCCCGGGCCUUGUACACACCGCCCGUCACACCAUGGGAGUUGGUUCUACCCGACGACGCUGCGCUAACCUUCGGGGGGCAGGCGGCCACGGUAGGAUCAGCGACUGGGGUGAAGUCGUAACAAGGUA